AAUAUUGGACAUUGGGCGAAAGCUUGAUCCAGCAAUGCUGCGUGUGUGAAGAUGGUCUUCGGAUUGUAAAGCACUUUAAGUUGGGAGGAAGGGCAGUAAGUUAAUACCUUGCUGUUUUGACGUUACUGACAGAAUAAGCACCGGCUAACUUGGUGCCAUCAGCCGCAGUAAUAGGAAGGGGGCAAGCGUUAAUCGGAAUUACUGGGCGUAAAGCGCGCGUAGAUGCUUUAUUAAGUUGAAAGUGUAAGCCCCGGGCUCAAACUGGGAACUGCUUUCAAAACUGGCAAGCUAGAGUAUAGCAGAGGGUGGUGGAAUUUCCUGUGUAGCGGUGAAAUGCGUAGAUAUAGGAAGGAACACCAGUGGCGAAGGCGACCACCUGGGCUAAUACUGACACUGAGGUGCGAAAGCGUGGGGAGCAAAC
This 421-nucleotide ribosomal RNA is filed under the name uncultured bacterium. RNAcentral's name for it is "partial 16S ribosomal RNA". It matches the Rfam family "Bacterial small subunit ribosomal RNA", at positions 360 to 773 of the family's 1533-position model. The record is from RNAcentral.